This 1360-nucleotide long non-coding RNA is filed under the name Homo sapiens (human). Its description in RNAcentral is "HSALNT0174402". The record is from RNAcentral. Lineage: Eukaryota; Metazoa; Chordata; Mammalia; Primates; Hominidae.
GUGAAUAAGUCCUAAGAGAUCUGAUGGUUUUGUCAGGGGUGUCCGCUUUUGUUUCUUCCUCAUUUUCUCUUGCCGCCACCAUGUAAGAAGCGCCUUUCUCCUCCUGCCAUGAUUCUGAGGUCUCCCCAGCCAAUUGGAACUAGCAUGCUGUUCCCAACAGACUGAAUAAUGUCUUCAUGUCUUUGAUCAGGGUGCAAAUACUUACUGUAUAGAAUACAGAAUGGAUUUUUCAUGGUGCUGACAAAGUUUGUAUGGAAGCAGUAGAAAUCACCCAAGUAAUUUGGACUCUAAUGAUGUCUACAUAGCCAAUCUACAGUCUGGCUAGGAAGGGAUACGAUGGCAUGGUAUUUUAAAAAGAAAAAAAUAAAGUUAUCUAAAAGAUACACUACCAUUAGCUGAGAUGAGAUAAUUGAAUUCUCUUUAAUUUGUAAGCAGACUGGCUUACUCUACACCCACAUACUCUCAUUUAGCAAAAAGAUAAAAUAUCUACACAGGACCUUGCAGCUUACAAAAUACAUCCAUAUACAUGUAGGUCCCACAAAAUGCUGUGGUGUAAGUACCCUUAUGACCCUAAUUGACAAAUAAGAAAACCAAGGUUCCAAGAGUUAAAGGCUAGUAUGUAGAUAUGCACCCAGAGUCCCUGAUUCUGAUUCUGAGACUGCAUAAUUUAUAUCAUGGUUGUGUCAUUAAAAAGAAGUGGAAGAAUCUGGAACAAAUAAAACACACAGCGACUAAGUUUCAAUUAAAUAUAGGACAUAGCAAUACUGUGGUUGGAAAGGGUAGGCAAGAGAUAUCAUGAGGUCACUGGGUGCUUGAGGGGAAAGCAAGGGUUAAAGAACAGUCUCUAACAAAAGGAAGAAAUUGCACCAAAGAUAUACUUUCCUUAUUUCUCAAGUUCAGCUGUAAUCAACCAAGCCUAAUCUAGGAUAACAGUGAGCAGCAAAAAAAAAAAAAAUCACAAAAGAAAAUUCUUGAAAAGAGGUGCUUCUACUUGCAUAUAAUUGCUUACACUGAAGUAAUAUCUGGACCAGACUGCUGGCCAGUGAUCGGGCAUGUGCCUGGGCAAACACAUAACCAAGGCUCCGCUAAUUAAAAGUCUGAUUCCCCACACUUCUACAAUUACCAUUGAACGAUGCUGUGAACAUCUGAAUUGUGCUAAUCCUGGACAUGAAUAUUUUAUUCAUUUGGACCAUACCCCAAAAUUAACAUACUUAAGAAACUAUAAUAUGCUGUAUUAUGUUAAUGAGAGAAACAUGUCCAAGGAAGAAAUGGUGCUAUGGUUACACAGGACAUACUAUUUACCAAGAUAAUGAGGAAAUUUUCUCUUCUGUUUUUAUCCUGUUCUGAGUAUGUCUAUCCA